AGUCUUGCUAUAAAAAUGAUACUUAUUCUCUUAUUAGUUUAUAUCGUCUCCACCAGAAAAUGGCAAACAAGACGGCGACUGUCUUCCUCCUCCUGGUAUGCUUGUCUUUGAUUUUGGCAACUUCAACGAGAUUUAAACGUUUUUCUUCUCUAAGAUUUCGAAAAGCGCUGGGAGGGAGCCCUGAUGUUGGACCUAAUACUUCAAGUAAUCAACUUGUGUCCGUGGACUCUGCUGUGAACAAUUUAGGACAAGGGAUUGUUUCAAGAAGAUUGUAACACAGCUACGUAGACAUGGAACGAUAAACAGUGUUGGAUAUUCUAUUAUUUUGUCAAAAUAAAAUAACAAUAUAACCUCAUAUUAUAUUACUAAAUAAACUAGAUCAUGCAUUA
Long non-coding RNA from Leptidea sinapis, 389 nucleotides. RefSeq lists it as uncharacterized. The transcript has 2 exons. Lineage: Eukaryota; Metazoa; Arthropoda; Insecta; Lepidoptera; Pieridae. The record is from RefSeq and is a predicted model, not a curated record.